CGACUUAGCCCCAGUCACUAGUUUUACCCUAGGCGGCUCCUUACGGUUACCGACUUUAGGUACACCCAGCUUCCAUGGCUUGACGGGCAGUGUGUGCAAGGUCCGGGAACGUAUUCACCGUAUCAUUGCUGAUAUACGAUUACUAGCGAUUCCAGCUUCAUGGAGUCGAGUUGCAGACUCCAAUCUGAACUGAGAGGCGUUUUUUGGGAUUAGCUUCAUAUCACUAUGUUGCAGCCCUUUGUACGCCCCAUUGUAACACGUGUGUAGAGCUGGGCAUAAAGGCCAUGAUGACUUGACAUCAUCCCCUCCUUCCUCACAUCUUACCACGGCAGUUUACCUAAAGUUCCCAGCGUUACCUGAUGGCAACUACUGAUGGGGGCUGCGCUCCUUGCAGAACUUAACACAAAACCUUCACUGGACGAGCUGACCGAAGCCAUGCAGCCCCUCAACGCAAUAGUAUUACUAAAAC
Molecule: ribosomal RNA, 469 nt
Filed under: uncultured Bacteroidota bacterium
Lineage: Bacteria; Pseudomonadati; Bacteroidota
Description: uncultured Bacteroidetes bacterium partial 16S ribosomal RNA
Source: RNAcentral